Paramuricea clavata is the source of this 318-nucleotide non-coding RNA. The record is from the annotation of a GenBank genome assembly. NCBI's taxonomy places the organism in Eukaryota, Metazoa, Cnidaria, Anthozoa, Malacalcyonacea, Plexauridae.
UCAGAAGUUAUUAUCGAAUCCUUUCAUAUUUUAUCCAUCCGUUUACAUUCAGCAAAAAUAUUCGAGAUAAAUAAGCGAUGGAUAAACUACUAACAAUAAAACCAAAUCGUAUAGAUAAUUAAAUAUACAUCCAAACACUAAAAAAACGUUGCCAUAUACAUACACAUACUACUUUACAUUUUAAAAUUUACCGUCGCAGGAAGAGAAAGGCGAAAUGCUAGAGAAGUAAUGAACUGGAUACAGAUGCGAUCAAUAUAUAAAAUUUUAGAAAGUUAAAAUUUGACUUGUUCUAGCUUAUAUUGAUUAGUUUUGUUAGGG